GAUGAAGAACGCAGCGAAAUGCGAUAAGUAGUGUGAAUUGCAGAAUUCAGUGAAUCAUCGAAUCUUUGAACGCACAUUGCGCCCCCUGGUAUUCCGGGGGGCAUGCCUGUCCGAGCGUCAUUGCUGCCCUCAAGCACGGCUUGUGUGUUGGGCCCCGUCCCCUCCCCCGGGGACGGGCCCGAAAGGCAGCGGCGGCACCGCGUCCGAUCCUCGAGCGUAUGGGGCUUUGUCACCCGCUCUGUAGGCCCGGCCGGCGCCAGCCGACACCCAACUUUUAUUUCUAAGGUUGACCUCGGAUCAGGUAGGGAUACCCGCUGAACUUAAGCAUAUCAAUAAGCGGAGGA
This 344-nucleotide unclassified non-coding RNA is filed under the name soil metagenome. RNAcentral's name for it is "partial contains 5.8S ribosomal RNA, internal transcribed spacer 2, and large subunit ribosomal RNA". The stretch from base 1 to 120 matches the Rfam family "5.8S ribosomal RNA", at positions 35 to 154 of the family's 154-position model. The record is from RNAcentral.